Saccostrea echinata is the source of this 348-nucleotide long non-coding RNA. RefSeq lists it as uncharacterized. The record is from RefSeq and is a predicted model, not a curated record. NCBI's taxonomy places the organism in Eukaryota, Metazoa, Mollusca, Bivalvia, Ostreida, Ostreidae. The transcript is spliced from 2 exons.
GCCAAAUUGUAGGAAAAAAUAUACACUGAAGUAAAGUUUUUUGAUAGGGAUGGUCCAGAAGAGAGACAGAGAGCAGGAAUUAUGGGUAGACUGGGUAAAUGGGAGGAUUAUGGGAAGGAAAAUAUAGGCAUCUCUACUUGUCAAACAACUGUGGAAAACUGCAGAAACAAAAUAAUCCACAGUACCUGUGUUGAAUCUGAGUUAUCUCUCUUGGUUCACGACAGUUGUGAACCAACUUUUAUUCAAGAUGCAAAUGAAAAACAGUUACAGAUAAAGAAAAUUGUUGUUUUUCUCCAUCUUGGGGUUGAGAAAUUUGGAUCCAUUAGAAUAAAAAGACAUCAAUAGCUA